Unclassified non-coding RNA from Erinaceus europaeus (western European hedgehog), 321 nucleotides. Its record names the gene 7SK. It matches the Rfam family "7SK RNA". Rfam says of the family: 7SK was discovered as an abundant small nuclear RNA in the mid-70s but a possible function has only recently been suggested. NCBI's taxonomy places the organism in Eukaryota, Metazoa, Chordata, Mammalia, Eulipotyphla, Erinaceidae. The record is from Ensembl.
GGGUGUUAGGGUGAUCUGGCUGCACAUCUGUCACCCCAUUGAUCUCCAGGGUUGAUUCAGCUGAUCUGGCUGGCUAGGCGGGUGUCCCCUUCCUCCCUUCCUCCCUCACCACUCCAUGUGCGUCCCUCCCUAAGCUGUGUGCUGGGUUGAAGAGGAUGGCCUACCCUGAAUAGAGAUGAACUGGUCUUCAGUUGAGGGUAUGUGAGUAGCUGCGCUCCCCUGCUAGAACCUCCAAACAAGCUCUGAAGGAAGAUCCCACCUUUGAAGCAGCCUUCUCUAGAGUCACAUGAUGGUGUAGGGAAUGCUCCAAAGAAGGAGGAU